Molecule: ribosomal RNA, 897 nt
Filed under: Cortinarius sp. PDD 106630
Lineage: Eukaryota; Fungi; Basidiomycota; Agaricomycetes; Agaricales; Cortinariaceae
Description: partial large subunit ribosomal RNA
Rfam family: Eukaryotic large subunit ribosomal RNA
Source: RNAcentral
CAUAUCAAUAAGCGGAGGAAAAGAAACUAACAAGGAUUCCCCUAGUAACUGCGAGUGAAGCGGGAAAAGCUCAAAUUUAAAAUCUGGCGGUCUUUGGCUGUCCGAGUUGUAAUCUAGAGAAGUGUUAUCCGCGCUGGACCGUGUACAAGUCUCCUGGAAUGGAGCGUCAUAGAGGGUGAGAAUCCCGUCUUUGACACGGACUGCCAGGGCUUUGUGAUGCGCUCUCAAAGAGUCGAGUUGUUUGGGAAUGCAGCUCAAAAUGGGUGGUAAAUUCCAUCUAAAGCUAAAUAUUGGCGAGAGACCGAUAGCGAACAAGUACCGUGAGGGAAAGAUGAAAAGAACUUUGGAAAGAGAGUUAAACAGUACGUGAAAUUGCUGAAAGGGAAACGCUUGAAGUCAGUCGCGUUGUCCAGGGAUCAACCUUGCUUUUGCUUGGUGCACUUUCUGGUCGACGGGUCAGCAUCAAUUUUGACUAUUGGAAAAAGAUUAGGGGAAUGUGGCAUCUUCGGAUGUGUUAUAGCCCUUGGUUGCAUGCAAUGGUUGGGAUUGAGGAACUCAGCACACGUCGCAUUGUACGUUGCUUAGGAUGCUGGCAUAAUGGCUUUAAUCGACCCGUCUUGAAACACGGACCAAGGAGUCUAACAUGCCUGCGAGUGUUUGGGUGGAAAACCCGAGCGCGUAAUGAAAGUGAAAGUUGAGAUCCCUGUCGUGGGGAGCAUCGACGCCCGGACCAGACCUUUUGUGACGGUUCUGCGGUAGAGCAUGUAUGUUGGGACCCGAAAGAUGGUGAACUAUGCCUGAAUAGGGUGAAGCCAGAGGAAACUCUGGUGGAGGCUCGUAGCGAUUCUGACGUGCAAAUCGAUCGUCAAAUUUGGGUAUAGGGGCGAAAGACCUAAU